RNAcentral lists this ribosomal RNA (253 nucleotides) under uncultured bacterium. Its description in RNAcentral is "partial 16S ribosomal RNA". It matches the Rfam family "Bacterial small subunit ribosomal RNA", at positions 524 to 776 of the family's 1533-position model. The record is from RNAcentral.
UACGUAGGGUGCAAGCGUUGUCCGGAAUUAUUGGGCGUAAAGAGCUCGUAGGCGGCUUGUCGCGUCGAAUGUGAAAACCCGAGGCUCAACUUCGGGCUUGCAUUCGAUACGGGCAGGCUGGAGUUCGGUAGGGGAGACUGGAAUUCCUGGUGUAGCGGUGAAAUGCGCAGAUAUCAGGAGGAACACCGGUGGCGAAGGCGGGUCUCUGGGCCGAUACUGACGCUGAGGAGCGAAAGCGUGGGGAGCGAACAGG